GGAACUAAACCCCCCUUUAGCUAGGGGGUGAUUCGAAACUAUGUUUAUGCUUGCAAUAUGAAUUGAUUAUCUUUGGUUGGAAUUUCAUAAGUUGUGGAUUCAAUUUGUUUAACCGUUUGAUUGAUAACUUAUUUAUGUAUGUUUAUUGAGAGUGCACGCUUAAUCUUCAUGCAUAAAUAUGAUGCUAGAAUAUAAGUGAGUUUCACCUAAUCGUUAUGAACUUAUAUUCACAAGUAGUGGAGGUUGCUUAUAAA
Molecule: long non-coding RNA, 254 nt
Filed under: Malus domestica (apple)
Lineage: Eukaryota; Viridiplantae; Streptophyta; Magnoliopsida; Rosales; Rosaceae
Description: long non-coding RNA (MDOM_LNC004404)
Source: RNAcentral